UUUUUUUUCUUUUACACAUGUUCCUGGGGCUUAUGGAAUUUACUGGUUUAUUAUAAAGGAUAUUACAAAGGAUACAGAUGAAGAGAGGUGUAGGGAAAGGUAUGGGGGAGGGACGCAGAGCUUCCAUGCCCUCCCCAGGCGCUCCACCCUCCAGGAGCCUCCAUGUGCUCUAGAAGCUCCCCGAACCCCCUCCUGAGUGUUUACGGAGGCUUCAUCAUGAAGGCAUGAUUGAUUCAAUCACUGGCCACUGAUGAUCAGCUUAACCUUCAGCCCCUCUCGCCUACCUGGAGGUUGGAGGGUGGGGCUGAAAGUCUCAACCUUGUAAUUCUACCCAGUCUUCCCUGGGACCCGCCCCCAUCCUGAAGCUGGUUAGGGGCUGCCAGCUGGUCUGUCAAUCAUGGGCAUUCAAAAAGGCACCACUUUGGAGAUUCCAAAGAUUUUAGGAGUUGUAUGCCAGGAAAUGGAGAUGAAAACCAAAUGUAUAUUUCACAACAUGACAGUCAUUCUCUUUCAACCACAGCCUCCCUUCCUGCCCUGCUGUGGGCCUCAGCCCCCCAUGCCCCAGGGCCUUUGAACACAUUGCUUGUUGCCUGCAGUGAUUCCCGCUUGCCUGCCGGGUUUGAGCCUGGUUUACUCCUCACCCUUCUGUGCUCAGCCUGAAGGUCUCCCCCCAGGGCAGUCCUCCUGACCUGGUCCUACAAACCCCAGGUCCUGUCCUGCCACUGGUCCCCUUUGUCACUCCUGUCACUUCCCAUGUUUCACAUGUACUGAUGUGGUCUUGCACUGGUGCAGUCCCAUGAGGGCAAGGACUGUGUCUGGUUUGCCCUCCAUCAGACCCCAGCACCAAGUCCACAGGGCGCGCCCAAUGCUGAAUAAAUGAAUGAGUGACCAGCAAGGGAGGUUUGUUGUGUCAUGUUGGGGUUCCAAGGCUGCUGGGCGGACCACGUGGGUGAGGUUGGGUGGGGAGGGAAGCAGAGAUGACCCCUUGGAAGAAGGGGUAGGAGGCAGGGAGGAGGGUGUGGGGUGCUGUGUAAGGAUGGCAAGUGCUUCCAGGAGUGACAAGCCAACCCCUAGAGCACCAGGCAGCAGAAAAAGGCUGACACCCUCACAGCCCACUUCCACUUAGGGACUGAGGCCAGGCCUCAGGCCAGCUCCCCGUUGCUAGGAGAGCCCCAAGGGAAGCUCCAUCAGCUGCUGAGUUGGUCACAGUGGAACCCAUGUGGUGGGUAGGAGGGGUCUGAGGCACAGGGGUUCGGGUGGUGGCUUCAGGACGGAGACUCCUGUCCAGAUCAUGAGGGGCGGCAGCAGGGAUGACCACCUCAAACAGGAAGCAGACAAAGGCACAGAUGGCAGAAGCGGAGGCAGAGAAUGAGCUGCAGGGGCAUCCCCAGAGGGAGAGCCGAGCAAGGGGACAGGCUGGAAACACUCAGCCUCCGUGCCCUGAAGCAGACAGCUGGUCUCACACGCAGGCCAGGCAGCUACACCACCGAGGAUGAGGGGCAUGUCUGCAGGGCAGGCCUCAGGACGCCCUGGGCUGGCCCUGCCAUCAGCCUAGAAAGGCGGCCCAGGCUUUUCCGGUAGGGCGCAUGUCCAGCCAGGUCCUGGGCAGGAGCUGAGACUCCCUGGCUGGCCUGAGAGGGGAUGAUAGGGCAGGCCCAGCCCGGGACUUCCCCACUCCUCCCCGCCACCCAGCAGAACCAGCUGGGCGUGAGAAAAGAAGAGAAGCAAAUCA
Molecule: long non-coding RNA, 1732 nt
Organism: Macaca fascicularis (crab-eating macaque)
Lineage: Eukaryota; Metazoa; Chordata; Mammalia; Primates; Cercopithecidae
Source: Ensembl